AGAGGGUGCGAGCGUUAAUCGGAAUCACUGGGCGUAAAGCGUGCGUAGGUGGUUGUAAUAAGUUGGCUGUGAAAGCCCCGGGCUUAACCUGGGAAUGCCAGCCAAAACUAUUUGAUAGAGUACAGUAGAGGGAAGUGGAAUUUCCGGUGUAGCGGUGAAAUGCGUAGAUAUCGGAAAGAACACCAGUGGCGAAGGCGUCUUCCUGGACUGAUACUGACACUGAGGCACGAAAGCGUGGGGAGCAAACAGGGAUUAGAUACCCUGGUAGUCCACGCCGUAAACGAUGAGAACUAGCCCGUUGGAAACUUUAAGUUUUAGUGGCGCAGCUAACGCGAUAAGUUCUCCGCCUGGGGAGUACGGCCGCAAGGUUA
RNAcentral lists this ribosomal RNA (371 nucleotides) under uncultured organism. RNAcentral's name for it is "partial 16S ribosomal RNA". It matches the Rfam family "Bacterial small subunit ribosomal RNA", at positions 527 to 896 of the family's 1533-position model. The record is from RNAcentral.